This 395-nucleotide ribosomal RNA is filed under the name uncultured bacterium. Its description in RNAcentral is "bacterial SSU rRNA". It matches the Rfam family "Bacterial small subunit ribosomal RNA", at positions 505 to 898 of the family's 1533-position model. The record is from RNAcentral.
GUGUCAGCAGCCGCGGUAAUACAGAGGGUGCGAGCGUUGUUCGGAAUUAUUGGGCGUAAAGCGCGUGUAGGCGGGAUCGUAUGUCGGGUGUGAAAGCCCUCAGCUCAACUGAGGAAGUGCGCCCGAAACUGCGGUUCUUGAGUGUCGGAGAGGGUGACGGAAUUCCCGGUGUAGAGGUGAAAUUCGUAGAUAUCGGGAGGAACACCAGUAGCGAAGGCGGUCACCUGGACGAACACUGACGCUGAGACGCGAAAGCGUGGGUAGCAAACAGGAUUAGAUACCCUGGUAGUCCACGCCGUAAACGAUGAGUGCUAGCUGUUGCGGGUAUUGACCCCUGCAGUGGCGAAGCUAACGCAUUAAGCACUCCGCCUGGGAAGUACGGCCGCAAGGCUAAA